UAUCAUAACCCCAAGGACAGGCCAGUACAGAUGCCUGAAUACUAACAGGUGUCGCACAUAAAUCAACAGCUCUUCCCAUUGAGGUGCUCACUAAGCAGAUGGCUCCUCCCAGCUGUGGGCCUGUUUUUCUGGGAAGAGGCCCAGCCCACUCCAGAAGCUUUGUAAGCUGGCCCUGAUUUGAACUUCCUCCAUUGCUCUUGUUUGUACUUAUCUCUCUGAUUCCCUCCUCCUUCUGGGUGGAGUCUGGAUCGGCUGAACAUGUUUUGAACUCAUGGAGUUGGUUGCUUUAAAAACAGAAGGUAUCAGUAUCUUUAUUUUAGUUACAAAGAAGCCAUGGAAUGUUCUCUUCAGAGCCUAAGAUACAAUCCCUUAGGCAUAUGAGGAUGGAAGUCUGAGGACCAUUUAGCAACGGCCCAUCGGCCCAUCGUUUCUGUUACAAAUGUCACAAAGUUGCUGACUUCCACAAGCAAAAUCGUACACCAUACAUUUAAUUAAUGCAAAUGAAGUUUAUUUAUGCAAAUUAAAUUCCCCCUCUAUGUGCACCUGUAUGUAGGUAUAUGGAAUGUCGGUGUGUUUUCCAGAGUUCAUGUAUUAGAGUCUUGGUCUGUAUUGUGGACUGAUGGCCUGUUAGGAUUUUAAAAGGUGUCCUCAUGGAAGGCAGUUGGAUCACAGGGGACUGUUUUGUAAGGACUAUGACUUCUCAUUUUCACGAGGAGUCCUAAGUGACCAGGUUGUUGUAAGUUAGCCUGGCAUCUCCUACUUCUUGGCUCAUGCAUGCAUGCCCCACCUAUGUAUUCUUGGUUUCCUUACCAUGUCUUUGCCAUGUUGUGAUAUAACCUCGUGGCACUUACCAGAUUCCAACAGAGUACUGCCUGGUCAUAGCAUUGAGAUUUCUAGAUUGUAAAUUAAGUAAAAAGAAAUCUGGCCAGGUGGGAUGGAAAGACAGUCAGUGGCAACUGCUGGACACUCAUUUUUCUUGAUUCUUAUGACUUAUUCUAGAAAUUUCCCUCCUACUGUCUCACCUUUGUCUUAUUUUCCAGCUGUCAACGUUUGCCCCCUAGCAAGAACCAUGUGGUACUGAUGAUGGCCGAAGACAUCCUAUGAACUCAUUUAGUAGGAACGCAAAUGGGCUUUGAUCUGUUUAUGCCGACAUAUAUAUCGUGUAUUUGCAGAUGUAGAGUUGACCAUCAUUGCUUGAAAUGUGUGGGGCUACGGGGUUGUAAGACCGUAAGACUGGAUCGGCGGCUUCUACCAGUUCCCACAUUGUAAAUGUCACGCCUGUUUCAAGAUGCCGAUGUGAUGUCAUGGAAUGUCAUCUCCUAUGACUGGCAGUGUCCAAAAGAUAAAAGUCUUACCUUGGGAGGACAUCCAUUGUUCCUUCUUCUCAUAUCCAUGUACCAAAAGACAUCUGUCCACUAAAGCUUCUUGGUCUCUCAACCUGCUAGGGGCCACACCCAUGAAGAAUCUGUCAGUAGUUCUUCAGCCAGGAUGGGGCUCAUAUCCUGCCCCGCCCCCAUCUGUGCUGGAAUGCUGCCUGCCUUGAUCGUGGGCAGACCUUAGGCAGGCCGCCACAGCCGCUCUGAGUCCACAAGUGUGAUCCUAGGUCACGUUCAGAAGACACAGAGGCUCCGGCCAUCUUUCCAUCUCCUUGUCUGGGAUGUCCCCUGAGCCUUGACAGGAGGGUGUGUGAUACAGAUACCCCGCUUAUGUCUGAGCACUGCAUAGACAUUUAUUCUCUGCAUUUGACCUGUCUGCUUUCCUUGGUGUGCUUACAAUGGUCUGUGCUCUAAUGGAGGCAUCUGUUUUCAAUACCGGCUUGGAAAUAAUACUACAUAGGAAACAGCCCGAAUCUUCUUACCUUGGUGUUAGCGGCGCCCACCACAGUGGCUGGAAGCUGGAAGACUACCGACUCAUUCACCACAUCCCUCAGCUUCCUUUUCUGAGAAACAUGGUCUGUGGCAUGAUCUCUGCAGCCAUCCAGUUUGGGAUAUGAAUCCUAGUUGUGUUGCUUACAAAUGGGUUUUAGCUGGGUCACUUAAUGUCUUAGUUUCUUAAUGGAGGUCAGACCAACCCCACAGUGUUAUGGAUUAAGUGUGAAAUUGUGGUACUUAGCAGGGCCAGGCACAGAGCUCAUCCAGUACAGGGUAGCUGUGAUGGCUUGCCCACGGUGUCCAAGUUAUCUUGACAGUCUAUGCUUGGCUCCAUGAGGCUGUAAGACCAGCAUCUUGGAACAGAGAGUCUAGUAUUGCAGAAUAAAUCCACCUGAGAAGCAGGGCACUGACUGCGACCCUGUUGGCACUUUGCUUAGUCUAACUGCAUUUGAAGAUGGAGAGGAUACCUCGAGUGUGUGCUGUCUAGAGAAGCAAGAAAAGUCAACUGGACCAGGAACAGUUAGUGAGUCACUUCUAGUUGCAUUUCACACAGGCAGGUCUUCCCUUUCCUCGGCGAUGGCCUUGACUGCCAUCCCUGGCGACUGUUAAUAAAUGUCACCAUUUGCACUCCCCCAGUGCAUUUAAGUUUCACUAGUUCCGUAUUUCCCGGCCAAGGACCCAAGUUCAUCAAGCCAGUUUGGAAAAGCAGCGAUGGAGGCACAAACCAUAACUGUCAUUAACAGAAAGGCUUUGAAACUGAAGACACAGAAGGCAAAUGAACAGACCAUUUAAUCUUGUCUCUACUCUACUUUAGCCAUUUAAUCUCUGCUUUGGCUCUAUACAUCUGGGAAGUAUAUCAUUUUCUAAACAUUUUAUCAUAAAUGUUCAGCUUUUCUCACCAACGGCUGAUCUCAUAUGUGCUUAGCAAGUAUUCGCUCAUAAUGCUAAAGGAAGACUGAGAGACGGUUUUGGUUUUGGCUAAGCCAGCAUUCAAGAUGAAAUGCUGGAGGGUUCUGCAAUUGAUUUCAACAGUUUAACUUUACACUACUAAGGAAACAGUCCUGGAGGUGAAAGGGUUUCAGGUAAGAAGCCCCACUUGCAGGUUUGAUUUGUUUUGUUGAGGAACCCUGAUAAGGUGGCCUCUGCACGCAUUCCUAUUGCUCUGGUUUGACUCAGUGCAGAAGAGCCACCAGCAGUUUCUGGAAGUCCCCAGAGGUGUCUGAGCGAACCAUGUCAGAGAGAGACUUCUGAUACUUCUCCUGGAACUUGGCUUUUAUCCCCUGAAGGUCUACCUGUAGGGAUAAUGGCAACAGCAUGAGUGUCAACACUCAGAGUGUGUUUGUUAGGAAGGGCAGACACUGUCAUCCGCCAUCAUACUCAUUUGUUAUAUCAUUAAACGGCCCUGAGGGCUCAGCUGGCAUUAUUUCAGCCUGGGGGUAAGGAAAGGGAAGCCUACUUUAGCUUCCUAAAAGUAGAAGUGUCACACAUAUAUUAAAUUGGGAUUUUAUGUCUGGAAGUAAAAUUUAAAUUGCAUAUGUU
Molecule: non-coding RNA, 3410 nt
Organism: Cricetulus griseus (Chinese hamster)
Lineage: Eukaryota; Metazoa; Chordata; Mammalia; Rodentia; Cricetidae
Source: RefSeq, a predicted model, not a curated record